AUGUGUGUACCAAAGAAGAAAGGGGCCCUGGAAUUUAGAGAUGUACACGGUUCUAACCUUGCUAUAUUAGCAUAGCAGUGUUGGCGACGUAUUCAGAACUCGGACUCCUUAUGUGCAUGUGUGUUGGGUGCAAAGUAUUAUCUCGACGGGAACAUAUUGAAGGUCGGACCAAAGAAGGAAUUUUCCUAUACAUGGCAGAGUAUCGUAGCAGGCAUCCAAGCUUUUCAAGGGGGUUGCAUUUGGCAAGUGGGAUCAGAUGAACAAAUUAAUAUUUGGCAGGACCCUUGGAUCCCAUGAAGCCCUUCAUAGAAAGUUAUCACCCCUAGAGGUGUAACUAUGCUCAGAUAUGUGGAAGAAAUCAUAGAUUCUCACCAUGUACGGUGGGAUGAAACCUUGAUAAGAGAUGUUUAUUCUCCGGUAGAUGCUCAUAGAAUCCUGCAAAUCCCGUUGAAUGUUCACCUAGUGAAGGAUUUUGUCACAUGGAUGGGAACCUUAUCAGUACAGUCGACAUACCACGAAGGAUUUGAGCAUUAGUAUGGCCAACACCUUGUUCGAGGAGAUGGUUAGGGAAACGUGUACACAAACACAAUUUGGAAGGAGAUCUGGAACCUCAAAACCCCAGGAAAAACUAAAAAGGUUGCGUGGAAGACCCUUAAUGGAUUGUUACCUUGCUAUGGAAUCCAUGCGAACAGACACAUACCCUUUAUCCCUCAAUGUAUGUUAGGUGCGGUUGGAGUUGAGGACAUAAAACAUUGUCUGUUUAUUUGCAAAAGGGCAAAAAAAGUCUGUGCAGAGUUGGGUUUACAGAGCAUCAUCGCAGAUGUUGUACGGCAGGAUCGAUCGGGGCCUGUUACUACUGAGAUCUUAUGUCAGACUAAUUCGGUCAAAGAUGGAAUCCCUACUGUUGAACUCAUGAUAGUAGCGGCUUGGUAUCUCUAG
This 939-nucleotide ribosomal RNA is filed under the name Triticum aestivum (bread wheat). RNAcentral's name for it is "partial small subunit ribosomal RNA". The record is from RNAcentral. Lineage: Eukaryota; Viridiplantae; Streptophyta; Magnoliopsida; Poales; Poaceae.